GCGAGGCGUCUCGCAGGGUCGGAGUCGACUCCCGACACUGCGGAGUCGACUCUCUCAGAGGCGGCAGAAAGGCCGAUUUCAAGGGAUGCACGCGAGUCGUCUCCACAGGAAGCGGAGUCGUCCCCGCAAGUAAAAAGCAGACUUUCCGAGUCGUCCCCAGAGAGUGCGGAGUCGACUCUCUCAGGGUAUUCCAGAGGGCGUGUUUUUCGUUGACAGAACUGCCGAGACGUCCCCUGAAAGAGCGGAGUCGACUCUCUCAGAGAAUUCCAGAGGACAUAUUUUUCAGAGA
Molecule: long non-coding RNA, 289 nt
Filed under: Phoenix dactylifera (date palm)
Lineage: Eukaryota; Viridiplantae; Streptophyta; Magnoliopsida; Arecales; Arecaceae
Description: long non-coding RNA (PDAC_LNC001397)
Source: RNAcentral